AGCAGCCGCGGUAAUUCCAGCUCCAAUAGCGUAUAUUAAAGUUGUUGCAGUUAAAAAGCUCGUAGUUGAAUUUCGGGGAUCAGAUUGUCGGUCGUGCCUCGGUACGUACUGGCAUUAUUGGUUCCUACCUUCUGAAGAACCGCGAUGUCAUUAAUUUGGUGUCGUGGGGAAUCAGGACUGUUACUUUGAAAAAAUUAGAGUGUUUAAAGCAGGCGCACGCUUGAAUACAUUAGCAUGGAAUAAUGAAAUAGGACGUUUGAUUCUAUUUUGUUGGUUUCUAGGAUUGACGUAAUGAUUAAUAGGGAUAGUUGGGGGCAUUAGUAUUCAAUUGUCAGAGGUGAAAUUCUUGGAUUUAUUGAAGACUAACUACUGCGAAAGCAUUUGCCAAGGAUGUUUUCAUUAAUCAAGAACGAAAGUUAGGGGAUCGAAGACGAUCAGAUACCGUCGUAGUCUUAACCAUAAACUAUGCCGACUAGGGAUCGGAUGAUGUUAAUUUUUAAUGACUCAUUCGGCGCCUUAA
RNAcentral lists this ribosomal RNA (520 nucleotides) under uncultured Glomus. RNAcentral's name for it is "SSU rRNA". It matches the Rfam family "Eukaryotic small subunit ribosomal RNA", at positions 569 to 1091 of the family's 1831-position model. Lineage: Eukaryota; Fungi; Glomeromycota; Glomeromycetes; Glomerales; Glomeraceae. The record is from RNAcentral.